GUGCCUUUUGUAGAAUGAACCGGCGAGUUACGAUUUGAUGCAAGGUUAAGCAGUAAAUGUGGAGCCGUAGCGAAAGCGAGUCUGAAUAGGGCGUUUAGUAUUUGGUCGUAGACCCGAAACCAGGUGAUCUACCCUUGGUCAGGUUGAAGUUCAGGUAACACUGAAUGGAGGACCGAACCGACUUACGUUGAAAAGUGAGCGGAUGAACUGAGGGUAGCGGAGAAAUUCCAAUCGAACCUGGAGAUAGCUGGUUCUCUCCGAAAUAGCUUUAGGGCUAGCCUCAAGUGAUGAUUAUUGGAGGUAGAGCACUGUUUGGACGAGGGGCCCCUCUCGGGUUACCGAAUUCAGACAAACUCCGAAUGCCAAUUAAUUUAACUUGGGAGUCAGAACAUGGGUGAUAAGGUCCGUGUUCGAAAGGGAAACAGCCCAGACCACCAGCUAAGGUCCCAAAAUAUAUGUUAAGUGGAAAAGGAUGUGGCGUUGCCCAGACAACUAGGAUGUUGGCUUAGAAGCAGCCAUCAUUUAAAGAGUGCGUAAUAGCUCACUAGUCGAGUGACACUGCGCCGAAAAUGUACCGGGGCUAAACAUAUUACCGAAGCUGUGGAUUGUCCUUUGGACAAUGGUAGGAGAGCGUUCUAAGGGCGUUGAAGCAUGAUCGUAAGGACAUGUGGAGCGCUUAGAAGUGAGAAUGCCGGUGUGAGUAGCGAAAGACGGGUGAGAAUCCCGUCCACCGAUUGACUAAGGUUUCCAGAGGAAGGCUCGUCCGCUCUGGGUUA
RNAcentral lists this ribosomal RNA (776 nucleotides) under Staphylococcus aureus. Its description in RNAcentral is "partial 23S ribosomal RNA". It matches the Rfam family "Bacterial large subunit ribosomal RNA", at positions 601 to 1382 of the family's 2925-position model. The record is from RNAcentral. Lineage: Bacteria; Bacillati; Bacillota; Bacilli; Caryophanales; Staphylococcaceae.